Molecule: ribosomal RNA, 428 nt
Filed under: bacterium
Lineage: Bacteria
Description: partial 16S ribosomal RNA
Rfam family: Bacterial small subunit ribosomal RNA
Source: RNAcentral
UAGGGAAUCUUCCACAAUGGACGCAAGUCUGAUGGAGCAACGCCGCGUGAGUGAAGAAGGUUUUCGGAUCGUAAAGCUCUGUUGGUGGUGAAGAAGGAUAGAGGCAGUAACUGGUCUUUAUUUGACGGUAAUCAACCAGAAAGUCACGGCUAACUACGUGCCAGCAGCCGCGGUAAUACGUAGGUGGCAAGCGUUGUCCGGAUUUAUUGGGCGUAAAGCGAGCGCAGGCGGAAUGAUAAGUCUGAUGUGAAAGCCCACGGCUCAACCGUGGAACUGCAUCGGAAACUGUCAUUCUUGAGUGCAGAAGAGGAGAGUGGAAUUCCAUGUGUAGCGGUGAAUGCGUAGAUAUAUGGAAGAACACCAGUGGCGAAGGCGGCUCUCUGGUCUGCAACUGACGCUGAGGCUCGAAAGCAUGGGUAGCGAACAGG